RNAcentral lists this long non-coding RNA (354 nucleotides) under Gallus gallus (chicken). RNAcentral's name for it is "long non-coding RNA NONGGAT012033". Lineage: Eukaryota; Metazoa; Chordata; Aves; Galliformes; Phasianidae. The record is from RNAcentral.
GCCGAGGUCCCUGGGGAGGGGGGAGGAGGAGGAGAAGGAGGGUGGAGGAGGAAGGUGAGGAUGGAGAAAGGUGUGGAUGGAGGACUCGGAGGAAGAUGAGGAUGAAGAACUAGGAGGAAGAUGUGGAUGGAGGAGGAGGAGGAAGACGAAGAAGAAAGAUGAGGAUGGAGGAUGAGGAUGGGGGAGGAAGAUGAGAAUGGAGGACCAGGAGGAGGGUGGAGUGAGAUGUCAUCACGUUGCUACAACACAGCAGGGAUCUCAAAUACAUUGAAACUGAAGGUUACGUGCUAAAAUCCUGAAGACUGAGAAGUGAAGUGGAAGAAGUAAUUACUAGAAGGAUAAGUCAUUACUAGA